This is a long non-coding RNA of Musa acuminata AAA Group (dessert banana), 843 nucleotides long. RefSeq lists it as uncharacterized. The transcript is spliced from 3 exons. Lineage: Eukaryota; Viridiplantae; Streptophyta; Magnoliopsida; Zingiberales; Musaceae. The record is from RefSeq and is a predicted model, not a curated record.
UAUGUUGCGCUUUGCCACCAUGUUUUCCUUUAAAGUAGUAAGCAUUUAGGACCCCCCCCCUCAUCACAUGGCAAAAAGCCAGAUAAAGUAGAAGCACAGAUUAUUACUAUAACCUAGUAUUCUUGUUCUUUUUGAAUUAGAAGAUGCAUCUCCUGGAGACCAGAAGCUGAAUGCCUCGAUGAGACCACUCUUCACGCUACCUAUCCUAUACGAUCACAUCACCGGUCAAAGGUACGUACCUCAUUUUAUUUUACGCACUGCACUCAUUAUAAUUGGUUCGAUAAAAGUUCUUAUUUAUUCACACCAGCUUAUCUUUGAUUCGAGUUUUAUGUAAAGUUUCGACCCUUAAUUAUGGUGCAUUAAUCAUAUUGAAGUCGAGCUAUAGGUUUUCUUAAGAUGUACCGAGUGCAGGAAAUUUAAGCGUCCAAGCCAUCGACGCUGUGAUUAUUGAGUGGUUCUCGGACGUGUACGUAUCACUUCACUUUUACUUGGAGUGUUCAAUGAUCAAUCAUGAUCGGGACCCACAAAUGGGACAGGAAUUGGACCAGUCACCUUAUCCCAUUUCGUGACGUUGCAGCAAGCCAAUGGGAUGAUUCGUGGGCGUGUAAAGCGGUUGCUAUUGGAUCAAGUGGCGGUGGGAUAUGUGCUUGCGUGGCGAGCUUGGCUACGAGUGCCGUGGAUGAACAAACCGCAACACAUGUAUGGUACAAUAUCACCAAAUAAUAGAAGCCAUGGUGAAAUGGUGCAAAUGGAAAGAGGAGCAGGAGAAGCACCACGUGAAGCAGGAAAGUAAGGCAAAGGUAAACCAAGAUGGGAGUAAAUACAUAGAAAUGGAGAUUACCC